Molecule: ribosomal RNA, 253 nt
Filed under: uncultured bacterium
Lineage: Bacteria
Description: partial 16S ribosomal RNA
Rfam family: Bacterial small subunit ribosomal RNA
Source: RNAcentral
UACGUAGGAGGCAAGCGUUGUCCGGAAUUACUGGGCGUAAAGCGCGUGUAGGUGGUGGGACAAGUCUGCUGUGAAAGCGCCUGGCUUAACCGGGCGAGGUCGGCGGAAACUGUCCGACUAGAGGACGGUAGAGGGGGGUGGAAUUCCCGGUGUAGUGGUGAAAUGCGUAGAGGUCGGGAGGAACACCAGUGGCGAAGGCGGUUGCCUGGAGCUUUGCUGACGCUGAGGCGCGAAAGCGUGGGGAGCAAACGGG